AUUUAUACACAUUACAGGUAUAACUAUGCCAAUGAAGCUCUACCUUGCAACAGUAUAAUCGUUAACCAGCACAGUGGUAAAAACUUUUUCUUCACCAUGUUUUUUUCGUAGUAUUAUUUUGCUGGUUUAGCUAACUCAGAAGCUCAAUUUUACCGAUUCAUUGCAUUUACCCCGCAAAGCUUGUUGCGCGUUAAAAUUGAAUCUUUCUAAAUACCUAUAGUGAUAAAAUUUUUUUUUUUUAAUUCCUUUGCGUAAACAUAUAACGUAUAAUAUAUGUCAUAUAUUCAUAGCGAUAUGUUACCAGAUGAUAUAUUUUUUACAUUUAUUGUAGCUACACUCUUAUUGUGUCACAAUUAUUGUGUCGCCUGUAACAAAUAGGUAACGAUUACCUAAAGAAAUUAAUGUUUGUAUCUUUUAAUGAAAUGGGUUUUUCGCUUUUCCGAAAUC
Athalia rosae (coleseed sawfly) is the source of this 447-nucleotide long non-coding RNA. RefSeq lists it as uncharacterized. The transcript has 2 exons. The record is from RefSeq and is a predicted model, not a curated record. Lineage: Eukaryota; Metazoa; Arthropoda; Insecta; Hymenoptera; Athaliidae.